CCUACGGGGGGCUGCAGUGGGGAAUAUUGCACAAUGGGGGAAACCCUGAUGCAGCGACGCCGCGUGAGUGAAGAAGUAUCUCGGUACGUAAAGCUCUAUCAGCAGGGAAGAAAAUGACGGUACCUGACUAAGAAGCCCCGGCUAACUACGUGCCAGCAGCCGCGGUAAUACGUAGGGGGCAAGCGUUAGCCGGAUUUACUGGGGGUAAAGGGGGCGUAGACGGCAGCACAAGUCUGGAGUGAAAUCCCGGGGCUUAACCCCGGAACUGCUUGGGAAACUGUGCGGCUGGAGUGCAGGAGGGGUAAGCGGAAUUCCUAGUGUAGCAGUGAAAUGCGUAGAUAUUGCGCAGAACUCCGAUUGCGAAGGCAGCAUACCGGCGGCGAUCUGACGCUGAGGCACGAAAGCGUGGGUAUCGAACAGGAUUAGAUACCCUAGUAGUC
Molecule: ribosomal RNA, 440 nt
Filed under: uncultured bacterium
Lineage: Bacteria
Description: partial 16S ribosomal RNA
Rfam family: Bacterial small subunit ribosomal RNA
Source: RNAcentral